UGCAGUCGACGGUGAGCAGAGCUUGCUCUGUGGAUCAGUGGCGAACGGGUGAGUAACACGUGAGCAACCUGCCCCUGACUCUGGGAUAAGCGCUGGAAACGGCGUCUAAUACCGGAUAUGAGCUGCGAUCGCAUGGUCAGCAGUUGGAAAGAUUUUUCGGUCUGGGAUGGGCUCACGGCCUAUCAGCUUGUUGGUGAGGUAAUGGCUCACCAAGGCGUCGACGGGUAGCCGGCCUGAGAGGGUGACCGGCCACACUGGGACUGAGACACGGCCCAGACUCCUACGGGAGGCAGCAGUGGGGAAUAUUGCACAAUGGGCGGAAGCCUGAUGCAGCAACGCCGCGUGAGGGAUGACGGCCUUCGGGUUGUAAACCUCU
RNAcentral lists this ribosomal RNA (376 nucleotides) under Microbacterium sp. MBA2.52. RNAcentral's name for it is "bacterial SSU rRNA". It matches the Rfam family "Bacterial small subunit ribosomal RNA", at positions 56 to 434 of the family's 1533-position model. Lineage: Bacteria; Bacillati; Actinomycetota; Actinomycetes; Micrococcales; Microbacteriaceae. The record is from RNAcentral.